AGAUUGAACGCUAGCGGGAUGCUUUACACAUGCAAGUCGAACGGCAGCGCGGACUUCGGUCUGGCGGCGAGUGGCGAACGGGUGAGUAAUAUAUCGGAACGUGCCCAGUAGCGGGGGAUAACUACGCGAAAGCGUGGCUAAUACCGCAUACGCCCUACGGGGGAAAGGGGGGAUUCUUCGGAACCUCUCACUAUUGGAGCGGCCGAUAUCAGAUUAGCUAGUUGGUGAGGUAAAGGCUCACCAAGGCGACGAUCUGCAGCUGGUUUGAGAGGACGGCCAGCCACACUGGGACUGAGACACGGCCCAGACUCCUACGGGAGCAGCAGUGGG
This 330-nucleotide ribosomal RNA is filed under the name uncultured soil bacterium. RNAcentral's name for it is "bacterial SSU rRNA". It matches the Rfam family "Bacterial small subunit ribosomal RNA", at positions 26 to 358 of the family's 1533-position model. The record is from RNAcentral.